GGGCCCGUAGUUCAGAUGCGAGAACGCCUCGUUUGCACCGAGGAGGUCGUCGGUUGGAGUCCGACCGGGUCCA
RNAcentral lists this transfer RNA (73 nucleotides) under Candidatus Altarchaeales archaeon. Its description in RNAcentral is "tRNA-Ala". It matches the Rfam family "tRNA". From Rfam's summary of the family: Transfer RNA (tRNA) molecules are approximately 80 nucleotides in length. Lineage: Archaea; Nanobdellati; Candidatus Altarchaeota; Candidatus Altarchaeia; Candidatus Altarchaeales. The record is from RNAcentral.